GGCAAUCCAGUGUGCUGCACCCAUUCGAGCAGAUCGACCGGACAUGAAAACAGCAGGAGAACAACUGUGGGCAAUAAGGGCAGACUACCUGAAAAGUGCAAGGGCAAGGCGUGGUUAAAUAAAAAAAGAAGAGUGGCCUGCUCAUAUUCUAUUGUGCUCCUUUCAUCACAUUUUCUUUUCAGCCUGUGUAAACAAAUUCCAUUUUAAUGUCAAGACACAAGUUACUUUCAUCUUGGUCCCUUAACCUUGCUUCACUGCUCAUCAUCAUUUUGAGAACAUACUUGGACCUUUGGGCUCUUGGCUACUUCUUGCUCUUUAACUUGUCAUAUAGCAAAAAGUCCUGUCAUGGACAAUGUAUAAAAUGAUGAAGCACAUUUGCUUUGGAAGAUUGCUCUACCAAAUGACAGGUUAUCUGUAUACAACAAUUCUC
Molecule: unclassified non-coding RNA, 430 nt
Filed under: Hevea brasiliensis (rubber tree)
Lineage: Eukaryota; Viridiplantae; Streptophyta; Magnoliopsida; Malpighiales; Euphorbiaceae
Source: RNAcentral